Loxodonta africana (African savanna elephant) is the source of this 109-nucleotide ribosomal RNA. The record is from Ensembl. Lineage: Eukaryota; Metazoa; Chordata; Mammalia; Proboscidea; Elephantidae.
AUCUUUGGAAUUAAUAUCCUGAACACACCUGAUCUUAGAAGCUAAGCAGGGUCGGGCCCGGUUAGUACUUGGAUGGGAGACCUCCUGGGAAUGACAGGUACUGUAGGCU